RNAcentral lists this ribosomal RNA (469 nucleotides) under uncultured bacterium. RNAcentral describes it as "SSU rRNA". It matches the Rfam family "Bacterial small subunit ribosomal RNA", at positions 26 to 518 of the family's 1533-position model. The record is from RNAcentral.
AGGACGAACGCUGGCGGCGUGCUUAACACAUGCAAGUCGAGCGGAAAGGCCCUUCGGGGUACUCGAGCGGCGAACGGGUGAGUAACACGUGAGCAAUCUGCCCUUAGCUCUGGGAUAGCUCCGGGAAACCGGGAUUAAUACCAGAUAUGACCACUUUAGACAUCUGAUGUGGUGGAAAGAAUUUCGGCUAGGGAUGAGCUCGCGGCCUAUCAGCUUGUUGGUGGGGUAAUGGCCUACCAAGGCGACGACGGGUAGCCGGCCUGAGAGGGCGACCGGCCACACUGGGACUGAGACACGGCCCAGACUCCUACGGGAGGCAGCAGUGGGGAAUUUUGCGCAAUGGGGGAAACCCUGACGCAGCAACGCCGCGUGGAGGAUGAAGUCCCUUGGGACGUAAACUCCUUUCGACCCGGACGAUAAUGACGGUACGGGUGGAAGAAGCCCCGGCUAACUUCGCGCCAGCAGCCGC